GAAACUGAGGAGUGGAGAAGCAAGCAAGUAUGCAGCAGCAGCAGUAGCAGGGGGCAGCAGCACAGAAAGAGCCCUGUUACUGAAGUGAAGUCAGACAGAGUGCGUGCAAGCAAACAUGCAUAACUAUCUGCGUAUACAGCUUUUUACUGCAUUUUUGAAGUAUUCAAUGAACUUUUAAAUAAGACUCAAUUUAUCAAAUGAGAUUUUUCCAGCUGAACAUCAUAGACACAAAUGUUAGUUGCACAGUCAGAACAGACUGAAAUGGCUGAUAGCAAUGCCAGGCCAUCAUAACAACUAACACCCAUUAACAACCACAUUAAUUUCUGCAAAAAGAAAAUGCCAUUUAUAUGAGCUCACCUCCUCUGGGCUUCGUGUCUGAACAAGACCUAAUCAGCUAAAAGCAGCACUGGAAGUAAUGCAGUGUAUUCCCAGCACUACCUACACUUGGUUGUGUACCCCUCUGUUUGCAGGUACCCAGGAUUUCACAACACAAUUUCGCCUUUUUUUCCCCUCAUUUUAACAUUUUAAAUCCCAGCUAGAAAAACUGUAUCAUCGACAUAUAGCAUGAUGUCCUCUUAUAUGUGAAAUAAACUUUACUGAUAUUA
Long non-coding RNA from Malaclemys terrapin pileata, 605 nucleotides. RefSeq lists it as uncharacterized. NCBI's taxonomy places the organism in Eukaryota, Metazoa, Chordata, Testudines, Emydidae. The record is from RefSeq and is a predicted model, not a curated record. The transcript has 2 exons.